AGUGGCGGACGGGUGAGUAGUGCGUAGGAAUCUACCUAAUAGUGGGGGAUAACCUGGUGAAAACCAGACUAAUACCGCAUACGCCCUACGGGGGAAAGCGGGGGAUCUUCGGACCUCGCGCUAUUUGAUGAGCCUGCGUUAGAUUAGCUUGUUGGUGAGGUAAUGGCUCACCAAGGCGACGAUCUAUAGCUGGUCUGAAAGGAUGAUCAGCCACACUGGGACUGAGACACGGCCAGACUCCUACGGGAGGCAGCAGUGGGGAAUAUUGCGCAAUGGGCGGAAGCCUGACGCAGCCAUACCGCGUGUGUGAAGGGGGCUCUAGGGUCGUAAAGCACUUUAAGUAGGGGGGAAGGCCUAAAGUUUAAUACGCUUUAGGAUUGACGUUACCUACAGAAUAAGCACCGGCUAACUCCGUGCCAGCAGCCGCGGUAAUACGGAGGGUGCAAGCGUUAAUCGGAAUUACUGGGCGUAAAGCGCGCGUAGGCGGUUUGUUAAGCGAGAUGUGAAAGCCCUGGGCUCAACCUGGGAACUGCAUUUCGAACUGGCAGGCUAGAGUACAAGAGAGGGUGGUAGAAUUUCCUGUGUAGCGGCGAAAUGCGUAGAUAUAGGAAGGAAUACCAGUGGCGAAGGCGGCCACCUGGCUUGAUACUGACGCUGAGGUGCGAAAGCGUGGGGAGCGAACAGGAUUAGAUACCCUGGUAGUCCACGCCGA
This 712-nucleotide ribosomal RNA is filed under the name uncultured bacterium. RNAcentral's name for it is "bacterial SSU rRNA". It matches the Rfam family "Bacterial small subunit ribosomal RNA", at positions 94 to 803 of the family's 1533-position model. The record is from RNAcentral.